AUACGUAGGGGGCGAGCGUUGUCCGGAACUACUGGGCGUAAAGGGCGCGUAGGCGGUCUAAUAAGUCAGAUGUGAAAUUCUUGGGCUUAACCCAGGAUGUGCAUUUGAAACUGUUGGACUUGAGGGCAGGAGAGGAGAGCGGAAUUCCCAGUGUAGCGGUGAAAUGCGUAGAUAUUGGGAGGAACACCAGUGGCGAAGGCGGCUUUCUGGACUGUCCCUGACGCUGAGGCGCGAAAGCCAGGGGAGCGAACGGGAUUAGAUACCCCGGUAGUCCUGGCCGUAAACGAUGGAUACUAGGUGUGGGAGGUAUCGACCCCUUCCGUGCCGGAGCAAACGCAAUAAGUAUCCCGCCUGGGGAGUACGGCCGCAAGGCUGAA
RNAcentral lists this ribosomal RNA (377 nucleotides) under uncultured bacterium. RNAcentral describes it as "bacterial SSU rRNA". It matches the Rfam family "Bacterial small subunit ribosomal RNA", at positions 523 to 898 of the family's 1533-position model. The record is from RNAcentral.